CGGUAAUACGGAGGAUCCAAGCGUUAUCCGGAAUCAUUGGGUUUAAAGGGUCCGUAGGCGGUCAGAUAAGUCAGUGGUGAAAGCCCAUCGCUCAACGGUGGAACGGCCAUUGAUACUGUCUGACUUGAAUUAUUAGGAAGUAACUAGAAUAUGUAGUGUAGCGGUGAAAUGCUUAGAGAUUACAUGGAAUACCAAUUGCGAAGGCAGGUUACUACUAAUGGAUUGACGCUGAUGGACGAAAGCGUGAGUAGCGAACAGGAUUAGAUACCCUGGUAGUCCACGCCGUAAACGAUGGAUACUAGCUGUUGGGAGCAAUCUCAGUGGCUAAGCGAAAGUGAUAAGUAUCCCACCUGGGGAGUACGAACGCAAGUUUGAA
This 376-nucleotide ribosomal RNA is filed under the name uncultured bacterium. RNAcentral describes it as "bacterial SSU rRNA". It matches the Rfam family "Bacterial small subunit ribosomal RNA", at positions 518 to 898 of the family's 1533-position model. The record is from RNAcentral.